ACGAACGCUGGCGGCAUGCCUAAUACAUGCAAGUCGAACGAGACCUUCGGGUCUAGUGGCGCACGGGUGCGUAACGCGUGGGAAUCUGCCCUUCGGUUCGGAAUAACAGUUAGAAAUGACUGCUAAUACCGGAUGAUGACGUAAGUCCAAAGAUUUAUCGCCGAAGGAUGAGCCCGCGUAAGAUUAGCUUGUUGGUGAGGUAAAAGCUCACCAAGGCGACGAUCUUUAGCUGGUCUGAGAGGAUGAUCAGCCACACUGGGACUGAGACACGGCCCAGACUCCUACGGGAGGCAGCAGUAGGGAAUAUUGGACAAUGGGGGAAACCCUGAUCCAGCAAUGCCGCGUGAGUGAUGAAGGCCUUAGGGUUGUAAAGCUCUUUUACCCGAGAUGAUAAUGACAGUAUCGGGAGAAUAAGCUCCGGCUAACUCCGU
This 431-nucleotide ribosomal RNA is filed under the name uncultured bacterium. Its description in RNAcentral is "bacterial SSU rRNA". It matches the Rfam family "Bacterial small subunit ribosomal RNA", at positions 29 to 506 of the family's 1533-position model. The record is from RNAcentral.